This 93-nucleotide small RNA is filed under the name Treponema maltophilum ATCC 51939. Its description in RNAcentral is "TD-2 RNA". It matches the Rfam family "TD-2 RNA". From Rfam's summary of the family: non coding RNA found in Treponema denticola Lineage: Bacteria; Pseudomonadati; Spirochaetota; Spirochaetia; Treponematales; Treponemataceae. The record is from Rfam by way of RNAcentral.
UCCGACAGGAUGUCGGUUAAGCUAUAGGGAAGCGAGUUUUUGUAAAAAACUCGUCGUCCAACAAGGAACAGGGACGUGCCUUGUUGGACAGCG